GGAAUAUUGGACAAUGGGCUAAAGCCUGAUCCAGCCAUCCCGCGUGCAGGAUGACGGCCCUAUGGGUUGUAAACUGCUUUUAUCAGGGAAGAAACCCUUGGAUUCACUCCGCGGCUGACGGUCCCUGAGGAAUAAGCACCGGCUACCUCCGUGCCAGCAGCCGCGGUAAUACGGAGGGUGCAAGCGUUAUCCGGAUUUACUGGGUUUAAAGGGUGCGCAGGCGGGUUUGUAAGUCAGUGGUGAAAGCCUGGAGCUUAACUCUGGAACUGCCAUUGAUACUGCAUACCUUGAGUACAGUUGAGGUGGGCGGAAUGCAGCAUGUUGCGGUGAAAUGCUUAGAUAUGCUGCAGAACACCGAUUGCGAAGGCAGCUCGCUAAACUGUAACUGACGCUGAGGCACGAAAGCGUGGGGAGCGAAC
This 419-nucleotide ribosomal RNA is filed under the name uncultured bacterium. RNAcentral describes it as "bacterial SSU rRNA". It matches the Rfam family "Bacterial small subunit ribosomal RNA", at positions 358 to 773 of the family's 1533-position model. The record is from RNAcentral.